GACGAACGCUGGCGGCGUGCUUAACACAUGCAAGUCGAACGGUGAACGAGGGAGCUUGCUCCCUCCGGAUCAGUGGCGAACGGGUGAGUAACACGUGAGCAAUCUGCCUCGAACUCUGGGAUAAGCGUUGGAAACGACGUCUAAUACCGGAUACGACUCGGGACGGCAUGCUCCCCGCGUGGAAAGAACUGCGGUUCGGGAUUAUCUCGCGGCCUACCAGCUUGUUGGUGAGGUAACGGCUCACCAAGGCGACGACCGGUCGCCGGCCGGAGAGGGUGGACGGCCACCAUGGGACUGAGACACGGCGCAGACUCCUACGGGAGGCAGCAGUGGGGAGUAUUGCACAGUGGGCGCAAGCCUGAUGCAGCAACGCCGCGUGAGGGACGACGGCCUUCGGGUUGUAAACAUCUUUGAGCAGAGAAGAAGCGAAAGUGACGGUACCUGCAGAAAAAGCACCGGCUAACUACGUG
RNAcentral lists this ribosomal RNA (470 nucleotides) under uncultured bacterium. Its description in RNAcentral is "partial 16S ribosomal RNA". It matches the Rfam family "Bacterial small subunit ribosomal RNA", at positions 28 to 507 of the family's 1533-position model. The record is from RNAcentral.